Molecule: ribosomal RNA, 491 nt
Filed under: uncultured bacterium
Lineage: Bacteria
Description: partial 16S ribosomal RNA
Rfam family: Bacterial small subunit ribosomal RNA
Source: RNAcentral
UAGGGAAUCUUCCACAAUGGACGCAAGUCUGAUGGAGCAACGCCGCGUGAGUGAAGAAGGCUUUCGGGUCGUAAAACUCUGUUAUUGAAGAAGAACGUGUGUGACAGUAACUGGUCAUGCAGUGACGGUAUUCAAUCAGAAAGUCACGGCUAACUACGUGCCAGCAGCCGCGGUAAUACGUAGGUGGCAAGCGUUGUCCGGAUUUAUUGGGCGUAAAGCGAGUGCAGGCGGUCUUUUAAGUCUGAUGUGAAAGCCUUCGGCUUAACCGAAGAAGGGCAUCGGAAACUGGGAGACUUGAGUGCAGAAGAGGAGAGUGGAACUCCAUGUGUAGCGGUGAAAUGCGUAGAUAUAUGGAAGAACACCAGUGGCGAAGGCGGCUCUCUGGUCUGUAACUGACGCUGAGGCUCGAAAGCGUGGGUAGCAAACAGGAUUAGAUACCCUGGUAGUCCACGCCGUAAACGAUGAAUGCUAAGUGUUGGAGGGUUUCCGCC